RNAcentral lists this non-coding RNA (29 nucleotides) under Rattus norvegicus (Norway rat). Lineage: Eukaryota; Metazoa; Chordata; Mammalia; Rodentia; Muridae. The record is from RNAcentral.
UGUGACCUUCAUUGAGAGGCACUGCUCAC